This 216-nucleotide ribosomal RNA is filed under the name Glomeromycotina sp. RNAcentral describes it as "partial small subunit ribosomal RNA". The stretch from base 37 to 216 matches the Rfam family "Eukaryotic small subunit ribosomal RNA", at positions 683 to 864 of the family's 1831-position model. Lineage: Eukaryota; Fungi; Glomeromycota. The record is from RNAcentral.
GGGUCAGUAGGUUGGUCGUGCCACCGGUACGUACUGUUCUCACUGAUUCCUCCCUCCUGAAGAACCGUAAUGCCAUUAAUUUGGUGUUGCGGGGAAACAGGACUGUUACUUUGAAAAAAUUAGAGUGUUUAAAGCAAGCUAACGCUUGAAUACAUUAGCAUGGAAUAAUGAAAUAGGACGAUCGAUCCUAUUUUGUUGGUUUCUAGGAUUGACGUA